RNAcentral lists this ribosomal RNA (468 nucleotides) under uncultured bacterium. RNAcentral describes it as "partial 16S ribosomal RNA". It matches the Rfam family "Bacterial small subunit ribosomal RNA", at positions 38 to 507 of the family's 1533-position model. The record is from RNAcentral.
GGGGGGGGGGGGGGGGGGGGUGGGGAGGGGGGAGGGGAGCGGAAAGGCCCGGCUGGGGGGGGGGGCUCGAGUGGCGAACGGGUGAGUAACGCGUGAGGAACCUGCCCUUGACUUUGGGAUAACUUCAGGAAACUGGGGCUAAUACCGGAUAGGAGCUCCUGCUGCAUGGUGGGGGUUGGAAAGUUUCGGCGGCUGGGGAUGGACUCGCGGCUUAUCAGCUUGUUGGUGGGGUAGUGGCUUACCAAGGCUUUGACGGGUAGCCGGCCUGAGAGGGUGACCGGCCACAUUGGGACUGAGAUACGGCCCAGACUCCUACGGGAGGCAGCAGUGGGGAAUAUUGCACAAUGGGCGGAAGCCUGAUGCAGCAACGCCGCGUGCGGGAUGACGGCCUUCGGGUUGUAAACCGCUUUCGCCUGUGACGAAGCGUGAGUGACGGUAAUGGGUAAAGAAGCACCGGCUAACUACGUG